This 97-nucleotide transfer RNA is filed under the name Streptomyces hygroscopicus subsp. sporocinereus. RNAcentral describes it as "tRNA-Arg". The record is from RNAcentral. Lineage: Bacteria; Bacillati; Actinomycetota; Actinomycetes; Kitasatosporales; Streptomycetaceae.
UGUCGGGGUGCGGCGCUUCGGCGCGGUCGCCGUGGUCCGGGCAGGGGCGCUGCUGGCGGGCGGCGGGUUCGCGGUGGUCGCGGCGGCGCCCGGCGCC